UGAGGAAUAUUGGUCAAUGGGCGUAAGCCUGAACCAGCCAAGUCGCGUGAGGGAUGAAGGUUCUAUGGAUCGUAAACCUCUUUUAUAAGGGAAUAAAGUGUGGGACGUGUCCUAUUUUGUAUGUACCUUAUGAAUAAGGAUCGGCCAACUCCGUGCCAGCAGCCGCGGUAAUACGGAGGAUCCGAGCGUUAUCCGGAUUUAUUGGGUUUAAAGGGUGCGUAGGCGGCCUUUUAAGUCAGCGGUGAAAGUCUGUGGCUCAACCAUAGAAUUGCCGUUGAAACUGGGGGGCUUGAGUAUGUUAGAGGCAGGCGGAAUUCGUGGUGUAGCGGUGAAAUGCUUAGAUAUCACGCAGAACCCCGAUUGCGAAGGCAGCCUGCCAGGCCAUGACUGACGCUGAUGCACGAAAGCGUGGGGAUCAAACA
Molecule: ribosomal RNA, 422 nt
Filed under: uncultured prokaryote
Description: bacterial SSU rRNA
Rfam family: Bacterial small subunit ribosomal RNA
Source: RNAcentral